This 200-nucleotide ribosomal RNA is filed under the name uncultured bacterium. Its description in RNAcentral is "partial 16S ribosomal RNA". It matches the Rfam family "Bacterial small subunit ribosomal RNA", at positions 8 to 200 of the family's 1533-position model. The record is from RNAcentral.
AGAGUUUGAUCCUGGCUCAGGGUUAACGCUGGCGGCGUGCCUAACACAUGCAAGUCGAGCGAGGGCUCGCGUCCCGCAAGGGAGGCGGGUUCUAGCGGCAAACGGGUGAGUAACACGUGGGCAACCUGUCCUCUCGCGGGGGAUAACACCGAGAAAUCGGUGCUAAUACCGCAUGUCAUCGUCGAAGGCAUCUUCGGCGA